CUCAACGGAACCAAACCCAGACGUCUGAAUGGCAAUUUGACCUAUAAAUUUAAAAUUUUAAGGAUGUUGUGAAAGCGUGAUACAGUCUGGUCUGCAACACAUAUGGUUUUGAUACUGAGACUUCUUUGUAAUUUGAAAUCAAAGAGAUUUCUUUGUAAGCACCAAAAGAGAGAGAUUGCUUUGUAGCAGAAAUUCUAACUCGUUCCCAACUUGGUUACGGGUUAACUGAGUCUGGGCAAGGCGAAAAAGGGCAGUACUGCUAAAGUUUUGUGUGUUGGAACGGCUGAUACUAAGCUUGACGAGCUCCAAUUCCUAGCUGAAUCAGUUCGAUCCUCUCUCACCACCUUCUUUUACAGCUCUUCCUCCAAGGUAGAAGUUGUGAUAGUUGAUGUUUCUGCCGGUCAAAAGGAAACUGAGAGUUUGAGUGAUUUCAAAUUUGUUACAAGGAACUUCUUUUAUGCUAUUCUGAAUCAAUUGGAGAAAACCCAAUUGUGGUUCCAGAUGAUAGAGAUAAAGCUGUUGGUGUUAUGAGUAAAGCGCUUGAAUAUUUUAUAAAGAAAGCUCAGGCUGAUGGUGUUGUUGCUGGAGCUAUUGGCCUUGGAGGCACUGGAGGCACAUCUUUGCUAUCAUCUGCUUUCAUAUCUCUUCCUAUUGGUGUGCCAAAACUCAUUAUAUCGACUGUAGCUAGUGGUCAAACAGAACCUUAUGUUGGAACAUCGGAUUUGAUUUUGUUUCCAUCUGUUGUGGAUAUCUGUGGGAUUGAUAGUGUUAGUAGAGUUGUGUUAUCAAAUACCGGAGCUGCUUUGGCUGGAAUGGUGAUUGGAAGGCUUGAAAAGUUCCAAGACUCUUGUAGCAAAGGUAAAAAGAGCACGGUGGGUAUAACUAUGUUUGGGGUCACAACUCCAUGUGUUCAUGCUGUGAAAGAAGGAUUGCAGAAGCAAGGUUUUGAAACCCUCAUUUUCCAUGCCAUUGGGGUGGGAGGCAAGGCUUUGGAAUCAUUGGUUAGAGAGGGAUAUAUACAGGGAGUUUUGGACAUUACAACUACAGAGGUUGCAGAUUAUGUAGUUGGAGGUGUGAUGGCUUGUGACAGUUCCCGUUUUGAUAUUAUUACAGAGAAGAAGAUCCCUUUGGUCCUCAAUGUUGGAGCCUUAGAUAUGGUGAACUUUGGACCUAAAGAUACCAUACCUUCUAAUUUUCAGUAAAGAAAGAUUCAUGUCCACAAUGCCCAGGUGAUAAGUCCAUAUAGCAUUGGUUUUUCUCCCUUGCCUUUUGAAGUUGUAAUGUCCAUAUGGUAGAGAAAUCAUUAUAUCAUUAUAUCGUCCUUUUAUAUUUGGAAUUAGAUGGUUAAAUGGGUUUUGUUUAUACUUUUUACCAAAAUAACGUAUCAGAUCCAUCUUCUCUUGGUCCCACUCUGAAAAUUUUGGAGAGAUAUGUCAAAUGGCCAAUUAUUCUGGAUUUUUACCAUGUUUGCUGUUGUCUAAUGUGCCUUCUAUGUAUCAAUGUGGGUGAUUGAAGGUAUCGCUCAUGCGAACCACAGUAGAUGAGAAUAAAAAAUUUUCUGGCUUUAUAGCUGAUAAACUGAACAAGUCUUCAUCAAAGAUCUGUGUUUGCCUUCCACAAAAGGGUGUUUCUGCAUUAGAUGCAUCAGGGCAGCCCUUCUAUGAUCCUGAGGCUACUGGUACUCUCUUAAAUGAACUGAAGAGACUUGUUCAGAUAAAUGAAGACCGACAGAAACUUUACAAAGAACUCAAGGAAUAUUGCAGCAACUCGGAGAUCAAAUAUCUAAAGGACUGCCCAUAGUUGGAGCUGGUGCAGGGACUGGAAUAUCAGCAAAAUUUGAGGAGGCUGGUGGUGUUGAUUUGCUAGUUUUGUACAAUUCAGGACGUUUUUGUAUGGCAGGAAGCGGUUCUUUGGCAUGCUUAUUACCCUUUGCUGAUGCAAAUGCUAUAGUCUAGAGAUGGCAAAUGAAGUACUGCCAGUAAGUUUUGAAAUGCUUGCUUGUCUCAUCACUUAGCAUCUACACUAGUGCAAAUCUUUUCUUUGUGAUCACUCAUUAGCAUUUGUUUCAAAAUUUAUUUCUGUAGUUGAAAAAGGCAAAUGACUAGACUUUUUUUAUUUUUAUUUCGAUACUGUCCUUGUUGACUCCUCGUUGCCUUUUUUGCUUCAUGAAGUGCUUCUUUAGGAGUUAAAUUUUCAUUUGUCCAUAUUUCUAUAGAAAGUAUCUCUUGUUUUUCAUUAUCAUUCCCACAACAAUGAAUGCUAUUAUUUGCAUUUUGAACAGGCCCUUAAAUCAUUGUACUAUUGUUCAUGCAUUAACUGUCAAUAUACAGCAUAGAAAUACCCUAUGUUCUUCUUUGCAAUUAUUUGAUUUUGAAAACUUUCCCAAUAAAAUUUCUCACUAAUUUCAGCAUCAUCUUUGGAUGAUUUCCCUCUUACUCAUAGCUGCAAAUAUUCAUAGGUGGUAAAGUUAGUACCAGUUCUUGCUGGAGUAUGUGGAACUAAUCGUUUUCGCCGAAUGGAUUACUUCCUAAAGCAAUUGGAGUCAAUCGGGUUCUCUGGAGUGUCAUAACGUCUAGAUCCGGGGAUCUAUCGCUAGACAUUGACUUUUAGGAGUCGCCACCAA
Molecule: non-coding RNA, 2623 nt
Organism: Durio zibethinus
Lineage: Eukaryota; Viridiplantae; Streptophyta; Magnoliopsida; Malvales; Malvaceae
Source: RefSeq, a predicted model, not a curated record